Molecule: long non-coding RNA, 4367 nt
Organism: Melopsittacus undulatus (budgerigar)
Lineage: Eukaryota; Metazoa; Chordata; Aves; Psittaciformes; Psittaculidae
Exons: 3
Source: RefSeq, a predicted model, not a curated record
CGGGAUCGCGAGCGUUGUGAGCCAUCGUAUUGCCUCCGGGAGUACGCUGCCCCUCUGAGGGGAGCAGCUUGCAGGUGUGUGGUGCUGUCCGGCCUGGUGCCGCUGGAAGGUACAGCUAGGGAGGCACUCCUUGUCCUCUGGACUGCAGAUUAACUAUAGCACAGCGCACUUCCAGACCUAGGUAGUUGGCUAGUCGCUAGAAGAUGCGCUGAAAAGCAUGCUGACCUUGAGGAACAAAAGUCACCAGGAGCACAGAAGGGAGGUUGCCUUUGCUUUAUAAUUUGCACAAUUUUCAACAAGUUGCCAACACCUGCCUGUGAUUCAUGACUACUGUGUGUGUCACGACCCACUCUUUCAGCAACACUGCCCUGAUCCAUCCCCCUAACCAUAAUGAUGAACAGUAAUAACUGGCUAAUUCCAGUAUUGGUGAUUUACAGUCAUCAACAGUAUUUCCCAAAUUACAACAUGACAGCAAACAAGAGUAAUAUUCCUUCUAAGAGAUAUAUUUGCCUGUAAUGACCUGAAUACUUGAGGUCUAAGUGAGCUCUUGGACAUCUUUUGGUUAACUGGGACAUACCAAAAACUGGAAAGAUCAGCCAAAUCUUUAAAGAUGAGUUUGUUCAAAAGGACAAAAAGAAAAGUAAAAUGACUGCUAGUACCACAUGAUGAUAGCUAGUUAAAGGCAUUGUCUAAAUGCACAGCAUGUACUCCUGCCAAUUCAAAGACAAACAAAAUAAAAAAAACCCUGAAAUAUUUGUGGACAUUCUUAUUUACUUAAUUCUGUAUUUUAAAUUAAUUCAAUAGAGUGUCAAGCAAUUAAACCACAGCAAUCUACAACACUGUAAUAAUUUCCCCAGGGAAACAACAUUAUAUAAAACAGGGAGGAGAGGGGAGAGAAUGUUUUACAAGGAAAAAAAAGCCUCAAAAUGAAGUGACAGAAUCAGCUUGCUACCUUUGCUGAACUGUCAUAUUUAUGUAGCUACAAAUAUGUGAAGGAUUCACCAACAGGACUGCCUCAGAAGAGGGAAUAGCCAAGAUGUGUACCUUGCUGUGGGCUAUUUGGGAUGUUAGUGGUUCAAAGGGCUCCUAACCCAGAGAGGGUCGCUGUCCCAGGUCUUCUGGAAACACUGGCCAAUCUCUGUAGGGAAACCUCCCAAGACAAAAGGUGGCUGUAAAAUACUUCAAUAUAAGGUACCCCAUCAGUGUCUUGAUUAUCUGAGGCUAACUAUUUCCCUAUACUACUAAUAAAACAAUGGAAAUUGUUUUUAGCAUGCAGCAGGCCACGUGCAAGGAAGCCUACGCUUCAAUCAGUGCAGCAUGUUGUGAAGUCUGAGCAGCCUUGCCUAUACUAGGGAGCCUGUAAAAUAUGUUAGAUAUCCUUACCAACUUUAAUCCUUAACAUUUUAUCUGGGUUAGCAACUUCUAAAGUGUACUAGGUACACUGGUCAAAUAAUUUGUUGAACCUAUGACUCCUCAAAGGUUGAGUACAUUUGUAUCCUGGAUCAAGCAUUGGAGGAGCAACUGAAUCUGGAUGGUCCAAAUCUGACUAGUAAUCAGUUAUGUCAAAGUAAUAAAAACAGAUGUAUCUUGAAAGUGCUUCACGGAGUCCUUUGAUGUGUCCUUUAGUAAACACAAUAGGCCAAAUUAAGUACUGCUGAAAACUGCUGUAAGAGCUUGGUCAUUUUCAGUAACAGUGUAACUCCUACAGACUUAGUAUGCAGUCUGAACACAGCCUGGGGGGUCAAAAAACAGGUAUAACAAGGAAAAGCAACCACCUCUAAAGGGAUGGGUGAAAGUAGGUCACCAUUAAACACCUUUUUGAAGAGAACUCCAACGGAUGUACCCUGGCCCACCAAAACUGAUACAACUCUGGUUUGUUACAGAGAGGGGUUCCACCUGCUGAAUUCAGCCCGUGUUAUCUUAUUUUAGCAACUGUGAUUAAUUAUGCUGCCCUUCACAACCCUAUUUUAAGAUGCUAUUUUGCCGCGUAUGUUUAAAUUAUCUGUGUUUAUUCAGGAAUGUAAAGAAUUCAUGUGAAAGAAGAAAACAAAGACAGUAACUGCACGCCAACAAAAGUUUUCGUUUUUCAAAGUUGGCACUGCAAUUAUGCUGUGCACAUGCUCAUCUGACUUUCAUGCUUCAAUAUCCAUAGAGCUGAAUCAGCACAGAAAAUGAACAUUCUUGUUGACGCAAACUGCUGCUGACUUGAAAGGAAUAUCUUUUUCAUUUAGAUCAAAUGGCAGUUUUGCUGGGAAAAAAAUGAAUACUCUGUAUGAAUAGUAAUAAAUAUCCUGCAGCAGUUUUCAGAGAUUUUGUUGUUUAGGCCUGUGAAAAUAGCAUCAUGCAUUUUAUGUUGUCAAAACUUUCUUCUUGUCAAAUACUUCUUAUUUUCUGUAAGGAUCUCAAGAGCAAAAUCUUCUCUAACUGAAAGAACACUAUGCUGUCACUGAGGCUAAACAGUGAAGUGCCAGACAAAAUCCUGACGACUGGAAGAUUUUGUUGGGAACUUUUGUCUGCUGAUGUCAAUGUAAGUUACUGAAAUAUUUUACAUCCUUGCGAAAUCCCACGUGACCUCGUGCAAGCUGCAGAACCUUAGCAUUAUGCAACAAAGCACUCAAGCUUUUCACUGAGACUCAUACGUGGACGUAAACAUUAGAUCUUACAACUCCCUACAUAAAGUAGCAACCCUAAAAUGGAUUAAUGCAGGGACUUGGUGUCUUGCCCCAUGACCUAGCAGUGAAACAAGAGCACAACUGUACAAAACAAACAUGUGGAAUAGCUUAUUAAUUAUUUCAGAAUGUCAGAGAAGCUCUUGAAAAAACUAUGGAAUUGCCAAGUUAGAAUAUUGAGACAAAGUUACUUUUUACCUAAUAUUCCUUAGAAAGCUAACUACUACCCAACAUACUGACACUGGGCUGGACUUCAGAUGCAAAAGGGUUUUGCUACCUCUUCUUCUUAACAGGAGUGAUAUGGCCCCAGUGUAAAAGCCAGGGAACUGAGCACACAGUACAAAGGCUGUAACUAUGAUCUUGCUGUCCUUGAAAGGGAGAAGCCCCAGCUACACAGGAAGGGCUGCUGGUCUUUCGUAUUUAAAGCACAGAUAGGUGAAACUCAAUGACAUCCCUAAACCUGUUUUUUUCUUCCACUGUCAUGUAAUGGCAUGUGUGUUAGCAAAUUCAGCUUUUUUAUUUCUUGUGUUAAAAAAACUAAUGGAACAGUCUUAUCAGCUUUCUUCUGUGAUCUGUUUGUGGUCUGCACUGAAUCAAAAGGGCCCCCAACAGGGUGAGUUUUGGCCAGAUUAAAGAGGGAUUUGACUGCAAACUUGAUUUAUGAUAAUUAAAGGAAAAACAAGUUGGACAGGAUGCUAAAAUUUGAGGCCUGGUAAUACACGCAAACGGGGGGAAGUUGUUGUUGUUCAUCUUCUUGGCACUUUGCUUUCCAGCAGCAGAAGCUGUUGUUUUGUCUCCUCCAAACAAGAACUAAUGAUCUACUGGAUGGACUAGUAAGAGUGCCUUGCUUUUGCUGAAGUAAUUUUUUUUCCUUAGGUAAAAAGGAGUUGUUUGUUUUUUUUGACACACUUUGCAUCUUGUUUCUCUCUUUCCUCUGUUUUUAAAGCAUCCUGUAUGGAAUGCUGCUUGGUGUCCAGGGUGCUUGGUUGCUCUAGCUGUUUUGAAGACAGGUCGAGUAGCAUGCUCAGAAUGUAAAAAAGGCUGCUCUGGUGCAAGUGGAAGUGAAAAACUGACAUUCAUGUGCGAGCAUACUACACUAACCUUCAAACUAAGGCUGGUCUGCUCCUCCCUCAAGCCCCCUUGAAGCUGAAGUGCUAUGACAACAUAUCAAGGCAAUCUCCACUCAUGCUUGCUCUGCUGGACCAUCACAAAGCAGCUGAAAUGUACUAGCCAAUUCAACCUUUGGAGGUUAUUGGCCAAGUGGCUGCACAGGACUCUGUAAUGCCAUACUUGAUAAAGAAAACAAAAUUUAAGGAGGCAGGUCAAGUGAGCUGGUCUGUUCUCAGUAUUUCUGUGCAAACUGUUUCUUACCGUGCCACACAUAUACUGAGCUAUUUCACAGAAUAAACCACUGAACAUCUAACCCAACUUUACUACUGUAUGAGGAUUAGCAUGCUAAUAUCUCUCUUCAGCCACUUCUGAGGAUUAGCUUCAAAAAUCAAAUUAAAAUGAGGCAAACCCAAAUAGACUGGGUAGUUCCACAAUAAGGUGCAAUGCUCAUAUUCAGUAACCAUCAUCUGUGCCUCUUGCAUCUAAUAUUAUUGUGUGCAAGUAGCAUUAUAGUACACCUGCUGUGUGUGGUAAAGGUGAGAAACUCUGUGUAUGGCCCAUCAGUAUAUUAAAGUCACUAAGCCUUAA